GAUUGCGAUUCAUACCAGCACUAAUGCACCGGAUCCCAUCAGAACUCCGCAGUUAGCGUGCUGGGCGAGAGUAGUACUAGGAUGGGUGACUCCAGGGAAGUCCUCGUGUUGCAUCCC
Molecule: ribosomal RNA, 117 nt
Filed under: Arabidopsis suecica
Lineage: Eukaryota; Viridiplantae; Streptophyta; Magnoliopsida; Brassicales; Brassicaceae
Source: RNAcentral